RNAcentral lists this ribosomal RNA (826 nucleotides) under uncultured Chlamydiae bacterium. RNAcentral describes it as "bacterial SSU rRNA". It matches the Rfam family "Bacterial small subunit ribosomal RNA", at positions 547 to 1373 of the family's 1533-position model. Lineage: Bacteria; Pseudomonadati; Chlamydiota; Chlamydiia. The record is from RNAcentral.
GGAUUUAUUGGGCGUAAAGGGCGCGUAGGCGGAAAUGUAAGUCAGAUGUGAAAUCCCAGAGCUCAACUCUGGAACAGCAUUUGAAACUACAUUCCUUGAGGGUAGGCGGAGAAAAUGGAAUUCCACAUGUAGCGGUGAAAUGCGUAGAUAUGUGGCAGAACAUCAGUGGCGAAGGCGAUUUUCUAGCUUAUUCCUGACGCUGAGGCGCGAAAGUAAGGGGAUCAAACAGGAUUAGAUACCCUGGUAGUCCUUACUGUAAACGAUGUAUACUUGAUGUAACCGGACUCAACCCUGGUUGUGUCGAAGCUAACGCGAUAAGUAUACCGCCUGGGGAGUACGCUCGCAAGGGUGAAACUCAAAAGAAUUGACGGGGACCCGCACAAGCAGUGGAGCAUGUGGUUUAAUUCGAUGCAACGCGAAGAACCUUACCCAGACUUGACAUGCAGUGGACAGUCCUAGAAAUAGGAUCUUCCUUCGGGACCGCUGCACAGGUGCUGCAUGGCUGUCGUCAGCUCGUGCCGUGAGGUGUUUGGUUAAGUCCAGCAACGAGCGCAACCCUUAUCGUUAGUUGCCAGCACGUAAUGGUGGGAACUCUAACGAGACUGCCUGGGUUAACCAGGAGGAAGGUGAGGAUGACGUCAAGUCCGCAUGGCCCUUAUGUCUGGGGCUACACACGUGCUACAAUGGUCGGUACAAAAGGCAGCGAAGCCGCGAGGUGAAGCAAAUCCCAAAAACCGAUCCCAGUUCAGAUUGUAGUCUGCAACUCGACUACAUGAAGACGGAAUUGCUAGUAAUGGCGAGUCAGCAACAUCGCCGUGAUACGUUC